RNAcentral lists this ribosomal RNA (494 nucleotides) under uncultured bacterium. Its description in RNAcentral is "partial 16S ribosomal RNA". It matches the Rfam family "Bacterial small subunit ribosomal RNA", at positions 28 to 507 of the family's 1533-position model. The record is from RNAcentral.
GACGAACGCUGGCGGCGUGCUUAACACAUGCAAGUCGAACGGAAAGGCCUGCUUUCCCUUGUGGAUUGCGGGUGCUCGAGUGGCGAACGGGUGAGUAACACGUGAGUGAUCUGCCCCCAACUUGGGUAUAAGCCUGGGAAACUGGGUCUAAUUCCCGAUAGGACUGCAGGGUGGUGCCUGUGGUGGAAAACGAUUUUCUAGUGGUUGGGGAUGAGCUCGCGGCCUAUCAGCUUGUUGGUGGGGUAAUGGCCUACCAAGGCGGCGACGGGUAGCCGGCCUGGGAGGGUGGACGGCCACAUUGGGACUGAGAUACGGCCCAGACUCCUACGGGAGGAAGCAGUGGGGAAUAUUGCACAAUGGGCGGAAGCCUGAUGCAGCGAGGCCGCGUGGGGGAUGACGGCCUUCGGGUUGUAAACUCCUUUCGACCGCGAGGAAGCCACCUGGUUGGAAGGGUGGUGACGGUAGUGGUAGAAGAAGCACCGGCUAACUACGUG